This 497-nucleotide ribosomal RNA is filed under the name uncultured bacterium. RNAcentral describes it as "partial 16S ribosomal RNA". It matches the Rfam family "Bacterial small subunit ribosomal RNA", at positions 28 to 507 of the family's 1533-position model. The record is from RNAcentral.
GAUGAACGCUGGCGGCGUGCCUAAUACAUGCAAGUCGAGCGAACGGACGAGAAGCUUGCUUCUCUGAUGUUAGCGGCGGACGGGUGAGUAACACGUGGAUAACCUACCUAUAAGACUAGGAUAACUUCGGGAAACCGGAGCUAAUACCGGAUGAUAUUUUGAACCGCAUGGUUCAAAAGUGAAAGACGGUCUUGCUGUCACUUAUAGAUGGAUCCGCGCUGCAUUAGCUAGUUGGUAAGGUAACGGCUUACCAAGGCAACGAUGCAUAGCCGACCUGAGAGGGUGAUCGGCCACACUGGAACUGAGACACGGUCCAGACUCCUACGGGAGGCAGCAGUAGGGAAUCUUCCGCAAUGGGCGAAAGCCUGACGGAGCAACGCCGCGUGAGUGAUGAAGGCCUUCGGAUCGUAAAACUCUGUUAUUAGGGAAGAACAUAUGUGUAAGUAACUGUGCACAUCUUGACGGUACCUAAUCAGAAAGCCACGGCUAACUACGUG